This 72-nucleotide transfer RNA is filed under the name Camelus bactrianus (Bactrian camel). It matches the Rfam family "tRNA". From Rfam's summary of the family: Transfer RNA (tRNA) molecules are approximately 80 nucleotides in length. Their secondary structure includes four short double-helical elements and three loops (D, anti-codon, and T loops). The record is from Rfam by way of RNAcentral. RNAcentral also lists the same sequence under 3 other names. Lineage: Eukaryota; Metazoa; Chordata; Mammalia; Artiodactyla; Camelidae.
AGGGGUACAGCUCAGUAGUAGAGCACUUGCUUAGCAUGAAUGAGGUCCUGGGUUCAAUCCCCAGUAUCUCCA